This is an RNA transcript of Caretta caretta (loggerhead turtle), 2104 nucleotides long. It is a transcript of the gene named TM2 domain containing 1, with no coding region annotated. The record is from RefSeq and is a predicted model, not a curated record. Lineage: Eukaryota; Metazoa; Chordata; Testudines; Cheloniidae.
UCUACGGCAGCCAUCUUUGAUGUGGGCAAAGUACUCCGCUGCACACUGAGCCGUCCUUCCCCUGCGAGACAGCCUAGGGCUGAGGACGCGGCGGCCGGGCUUGGUUUCCAUGAUGGUGGCCGCCCGGCCGAGGCGACGGCUCCUGCUGUUGAGGAGGCGUCAAGCAGCAGCGGCAGCCCGGUUGCUGGGCAUCCUGUGGCUGGCGUGUGUCGCCGCGGAGGGCGUUGCCGGCGGGGAGCCUCCGCUCAAGUGCGACGAGCUGAGGCUGGGGCAAUAUAUUUGUGAAGAUCCCAGAAUAGACAAUAUCACACAAGAACCACUGAAUUGUACAAAUCACACAGCAUACGUUCCAUGUCAUCCAGCACCAAAUAUUACUUGUAAGGAUCACAGUGGCAAUGAAAACAACUUUACUGGAAAGGAAGUUGGAUUUUACAAACCUAUUGCAUGUCGUAAUGUAAAUGGUUACUCAUACAAAGUGGCAGUGGCUCUGUCUUUAUUUCUUGGAUGGUUGGGAGCAGAUAGAUUUUAUCUUGGGUAUCCUGCCUUAGGUUUGUUAAAGUUCUGCACUGUAGGGUUUUGUGGAAUUGGUAGCCUAAUUGAUUUCAUUCUCAUUUCAAUGCAGAUUGUUGGACCUUCGGAUGGCUCUAGUUACAUUAUAGAUUACUACGGAGCAAGGCUUACCAGGCUGAGUAUUACCAAUGAGACAUUCAGAAAAACACAGAUGUAUCCUUAAGUCUGGCAGGAAGUAUCAUGUAUACACAGCUUCAUUUAGCCCAUUUCUGGAUCCACUGCCCUUCCUGUUGCUUCUGCUGCAAUUUCUAUCACUGUUCUAUACACACAAUGAUGUUGGGAACAUUACAGUUGUGUGCUUAAACAUUCAAUUGGGAAAAUGUCAAAGAUAAGGUUGCACAGGCAAUGAGACCUCUUUCAAACCCCUUGCAUUUACUGAGAGGAAGACAUACGGAAAACAUGUAAUGGGAAGCCACUGUCUGCUAAGGACCUGACUGAUACCAACGUCUGUGUGACUGACUGUCCCUGCAUAGUCUGAAGAGAGCAGGACUACCCCACUGUAUGGCAAUAGCAGAAGCCGGGGAAAGGAGGAAUCUUUAUCUUUUAGGGCUGUCAUUUCAUGAUCUCAUCCACUGUAGCCCUAUUAAGAGGAUGAUGUGCACUACUUUUCAGUUAUUUUGUUAAAUAAGCAUGAGCAAUGAACAUCAUGCUAACAGACAAUUCCUAGUAUCUAAUACAGUAUCUUGAAUUUAAAAGCAUGUGGCAAUGUAAGUGUAUAUCUGGGAAGUAUGGGGGCUGGGAAGAAAAGUGACUGACUUGACAUUCGCUGUCUUUCUCCCAGCUCCUUUGCAAAAGUAGGAACAGAAUCAGAAUAAAAAAUGUUUGUUUUACAGCUGUACCAAGUUAUAGCACACUCUCUCUCCUCCUUCCCACUUGCAUCAAGUACAUCCUGUACUUUUGGCAACAUGUUGACUGGAUAUUUAAAAGCUGUGAACUGUUCUGAAAGUUUCACAUACAGGGUUAUGAGCCAUGUGUGUUUGAUCAAAAUUCAAUUACUGCACUGUACCAUGCUUGGAAACCUAUCAUCCCAGGUUAUGAAGUAUGACGAAAUAGGCUAAUCUAAUUGGUUCAGUAUGGGAGCAGUAUCAACCAAGCUUGUUAUGAUAAAUAGCUUCCUGUGUUAAAGGUUCUCUAGAGCUUAAGUAUCUUGGCUCACCUCCUUCCAUAAAAUAAGAAUAUUGUUCCCUGAGAACAGUUACAUCACUGUCCCUCUUCUACAAUCAGAAUUAAGGGGUUGUAGAAUUUUUCAUUUUGCUACUCCUUGAAAAUAUAAACAAUGGAUGGAUAUCUGCCCCAUUUCCCACCUCCCCACUUCUACCUCUUCUCCCCUCACUGCCCUCUCCCCUCCUCCAGCCAAGACUAGAUCAUCUUGCACUCACCCUGGUUGUUGGAUCUGUUUUACUACUGUUUGAGACAAUCCCAAAGAGGGCAUUAAACUUGCCAUGGGCUGGAGUUUGGGGGUUGUAUGGUUUUGUAUUUGGGGGAGUAGAGUUAAAUGGUGAAGUAUCUAAUAAAACUGCCUUGUGACAAUGAA